GCCUAGCCAGUAAGGUGGAUUUGACACUCGGCUUGUAACCGAGUGUGUUCGGGUUCGAAUCCCGAGUAAGGCA
This 73-nucleotide transfer RNA is filed under the name Trichonephila inaurata madagascariensis. RNAcentral describes it as "tRNA-Thr". It matches the Rfam family "tRNA". From Rfam's summary of the family: Transfer RNA (tRNA) molecules are approximately 80 nucleotides in length. Their secondary structure includes four short double-helical elements and three loops (D, anti-codon, and T loops). Further hydrogen bonds mediate the characteristic L-shaped molecular structure. tRNAs have two regions of fundamental functional importance: the anti-codon, which is responsible for specific mRNA codon recognition, and the 3' end, to which the tRNAs corresponding amino acid is attached (by aminoacyl-tRNA synthetases). tRNAs cope with the degeneracy of the genetic code in two manners: having more than one tRNA (with a specific anti-codon) for a particular amino acid; and 'wobble' base-pairing, i.e. permitting non-standard base-pairing at the 3rd anti-codon position. Lineage: Eukaryota; Metazoa; Arthropoda; Arachnida; Araneae; Nephilidae. The record is from RNAcentral.